UGGGGAAUAUUGGACAAUGGGCGCAAGCCUGAUCCAGCCAUGCCGCGUGAGUGAUGAAGGCCCUAGGGUUGUAAAGCUCUUUCACCGGUGAAGAUAAUGACGGUAACCGGAGAAGAAGCCCCGGCUAACUUCGUGCCAGCAGCCGCGGUAAUACGAAGGGGGCUAGCGUUGUUCGGAUUUACUGGGCGUAAAGCGCACGUAGGCGGACUAUUAAGUCAGGGGUGAAAUCCCGGGGCUCAACCCCGGAACUGCCUUUGAUACUGGUAGUCUUGAGUUCGAGAGAGGUGAGUGGAAUUCCGAGUGUAGAGGUGAAAUUCGUAGAUAUUCAGAGGAACACCAGUGGCGAAGGCGGCUCACUGGCUCGAUACUGACGCUGAGGUGCGAAAGCGUGGGGAGCAAACAGG
Molecule: ribosomal RNA, 404 nt
Filed under: Actinomycetes bacterium
Lineage: Bacteria; Bacillati; Actinomycetota; Actinomycetes
Description: Actinobacteria bacterium partial 16S ribosomal RNA
Rfam family: Bacterial small subunit ribosomal RNA
Source: RNAcentral